Molecule: RNA transcript, 1227 nt
Organism: Vicia villosa (hairy vetch)
Lineage: Eukaryota; Viridiplantae; Streptophyta; Magnoliopsida; Fabales; Fabaceae
Exons: 2
Source: RefSeq, a predicted model, not a curated record
UUUAAUAGCUUUAGCAUUGAUCAAGUGUUUGGACAAUUAUAAAAACAUACGGAGUAUAAAUCAAUGUUACUGAAGUAGAAUUAAUGUUUAUCAAUGUUUGCCCAGUAGUUGGAGCUAACUCAAAGCGGAUGGAGACUUGGUCCCAUGUGAUAAAUACAAUGAAGUUUAGGUUGUCUAGUUGGAAGAACAAACAUCUUUCCAUUGGCGGUCGAAUAGUAAUCCUGAAAUCAGUCCUAUACGCGAUCUCGGUUUACUUCCUCUCCUUCUUCAAGGCUCCGGCAGUUUUUUGCAGGUAUUUGGAGCAGUAUAUGCAAGUGGCUGGGUGUUUCUUCAACUCUGCAUAACGAUGGUUGGCAGCACAUGAGUCAGUUUGAAUAUCUGUUGGGAGGGGAAAAAUCAACGUCUUUAAAGCUGCUCGUGUUGUGGUGCGCGUGUAUUUGGUAUAUAUGGAAGGCGAGGAAUCAUAAAAUCUUUCGCAAUGAAGACAUUGACAUCAUAAAGGUGAUUGAAGAAGCGAAGAUUCAUUCUUGGAAAUGGCUCAAGAUAAAAUCGAAUUGGAUCAAGGAAGACUUUGUAUUAUGGUGUUUAAAUCCUAAGGCCUGCCUUGGUCUAGCUAGUGGCAGCUUAAUCUCCCGUCGAGUUUGUCCUUAGCCCAGCUCAGCCCGGAGCAGUGGCUAUCCCCUUUUAAUACCUGGAGGAUUGCUGUUGUUCAUACAUUGUCGAGAGUUUUCUCUCAUUGAACCUCAAUAGAUUUAGUCUUGGUGGUGGUUUGGGAGCAGAAUAUCAUCUUUGGUGUUGGGAGGUCGGUUAGAGGCGAAGUGUCGGUUCUAUAUUGAGCAGUGUUUUCUGGUUGAGUUGCAAUGGUGUGGUCGAUUUCUGUGAACCGUUCUAUUAAGUUUCUGUUGGAUUGUUUUUGCUCAGGGCACUGCACAUUGUUAAUUGAGGUUGUGUGAGUCUAUUGUGGUGGUUUUGGUGUGUAGUAUAGUUGUACUGCUUUGUAACUUACUGCAUUUAUUGCAGAAUUCCUGUAUCAGACAUUUUGCACCUCUUGUUAGUUUUAUAUUAUUUUUGGCUGUUUAAAAAAAACAUCAUAUUCGAUGCUUCGAACAACUCUUUAGGUAGGAAUUUCUCAACUGUUCUCAAUGUACCAUAGUUGUUCAUUCGUUCUCAAUGUACCAUUAACAAUCAAUCAGUUUACCCACGUUAUAAAAGUUUAUGUAUUCUAGA